GACGAACGCUGGCGGCGUGCUUAACACAUGCAAGUCGAACGGAAAGGCCCUGCUUUUGUGGGGUGCUCGAGUGGCGAACGGGUGAGUAACACGUGAGUAACCUGCCCUUGACUUUGGGAUAACUUCAGGAAACUGGGGCUAAUACCGGAUAGGAGCUCCUGCUGCAUGGUGGGGGUUGGAAAGUUUCGGCGGUUGGGGAUGGACUCGCGGCUUAUCAGCUUGUUGGUGGGGUAGUGGCUUACCAAGGCUUUGACGGGUAGCCGGCCUGAGAGGGUGACCGGCCACAUUGGGACUGAGAUACGGCCCAGACUCCUACGGGAGGCAGCAGUGGGAGAUAUUGCACGAUGGGCGGAAGCCUGAUGCAGCGACGCCGCGUGCGGGAUGACGGCCUUCGGGUUGUAAACCGCUUUCGCCUGUGACGAAGCGUGAGUGACGGUAAUGUGUAAAGAAGCACCGGCUAACUACGUG
RNAcentral lists this ribosomal RNA (468 nucleotides) under uncultured bacterium. RNAcentral describes it as "partial 16S ribosomal RNA". It matches the Rfam family "Bacterial small subunit ribosomal RNA", at positions 28 to 507 of the family's 1533-position model. The record is from RNAcentral.